Molecule: ribosomal RNA, 350 nt
Filed under: uncultured bacterium
Lineage: Bacteria
Description: bacterial SSU rRNA
Rfam family: Bacterial small subunit ribosomal RNA
Source: RNAcentral
UGGGGAAUAUUGCACAAUGGGGGAAACCCUGAUGCAGCAACGCCGCGUGAAGGAAGAAGUAUUUCGGUAUGUAAACUUCUAUCGACAGGGAAGAAAGAAAUGACGGUACCUGAAUAAGAAGCACCGGCUAAAUACGUGCCAGCAGCCGCGGUAAUACGUAUGGUGCAAAGCGUUAUCCGGAUUUACUGGGUGUAAAGGGUGAGUAGGCGGUUAUGUAAGUCAUAUGUGAAAUUCUGGGGCUCAACCCCAGAGCUGCAUAAGAAACUAUGUAACUAGAGUGCAGGAGAGGUAAGCGGAAUUCCUAGUGUAGCGGUGAAAUGCGUAGAUAUUAGGAAGAACACCGGUGGCGA